AUCCUGGCUCAGGAUGAACGCUAGCUACAGGCUUAACACAUGCAAGGUCGAGGGGAAACGACAUUGGAAGCUUGCUUCCGAUGGGCGUCGACCGGCGCACGGGUGAGUAACGCGUAUCCAACCUGCCCACCACUUGGAGAUAACCUUGCGAAAGUAAGACUAAUACCCAAUGACGUCUCUAGAAGACAUCUGAAAGAGAUUAAAGAUUUAUCGGUGAUGGAUGGGGAUGCGUCUGAUUAGCUUGUUGGCGGGGUAACGGCCCACCAAGGCGACGAUCAGUAGGGGUUCUGAGAGGAAGGUCCCCCACAUUGGAACUGAGACACGGUCCAAACUCCUACGGGAGGCAGCAGUGAGGAAUAUUGGUCAAUGGGCGAGAGCCUGAACCAGCCAAGUAGCGUGCAGGAUGACGGCCCUAUGGGUUGUAAACUGCUUUUAUAAGGGAAUAAAGUGAGCCUCGUGAGGCUUUUUGCAUGUACCUUAUGAAUAAGGACCGGCUAAUUCCGUG
This 505-nucleotide ribosomal RNA is filed under the name uncultured bacterium. Its description in RNAcentral is "bacterial SSU rRNA". It matches the Rfam family "Bacterial small subunit ribosomal RNA", at positions 16 to 507 of the family's 1533-position model. The record is from RNAcentral.